Molecule: long non-coding RNA, 2815 nt
Organism: Leucoraja erinaceus (little skate)
Lineage: Eukaryota; Metazoa; Chordata; Chondrichthyes; Rajiformes; Rajidae
Exons: 2
Source: RefSeq, a predicted model, not a curated record
ACUACAGGUUGUGUCUACUAUUUCAAGUGCUCGCCCCUUCAUGUAAAAUGAACUUCCAAUGUUUGUCUUAAUUUCUUCAUCCAAUCACCUUAAAUCAAUACCUUCUGGUUAUCGCAAUCACACCCUUCACAGCUGAGACUGCUUCCCUGAUGCAACCAAAGGGAACUCACACAUUCAGAGGGAGAGCAUGCAAACUCCACACAGGCAGCACCCGAGGUCAGGAUUAAACCGGGGUCAGAGGAGCUGCGAAAAGGUAGCUCCACAAGCUGCACCACAGUGCUGUUACUGCUCCUCUUGCCCCUCAGCUCUGAGGAAACAUCCUUGGCUUCCCUUUCCCACCCACACACACAAGAAUGGUCUCGACCUGAAACAUCACCAUUCCUUCUCUCCAGGGAUGUUGCCUGUCCCGCUGAGUUACUCCAGCAUUUUGCGUCUGCCACACAUAAUUCCUCAUCUCUCGAGAGCUCCUGUAAAUCCCUCGGAGUAGGUAUGUUGCAAAACUUACCUUCAGCGACGCUGCUAUUCUGUCGCUGCCCGUGUACGCGACUUUGGUGCCUUUGAGAGGGGGGCGGGUUUAAAAAGCGAUUUUCUCUAGGCUAUUGAAAUCGAUGUUGUUCAGCCUGCUUAGUUGCUGACGAAAAAUCGCUGCGACAUUCGUUCGCUGCAGCUAUUUUUAAACUAAAUUGGAUUAUUUAAUUGUUAUAGUAGAUUAAAAAUCAUCCUCUAAAGCCGCGAACGCCGACAACGGGACGGAUCUUAUGUAGGGGACAACGCAAGGUAGGUUGUUUAUUUUUACAUUAAAAAGUGCUUCUUAAGAUCCCUUUAUUCAAAAUUUUAAGUUGCGAGUACGUGACUUGGGGGCCCAUUCAAACCCGCAGUAUCUUUCAUGCUGCAUAUGGGCUUCAAAUCCACUGCAAUGGCAACGUUCCAAACCAUCGCGUUCCAGAAAAACCCACUCGCAAGCUGAUUUAAAUGGCCAUUAAUUUACAGCAAUUGAACACUAAAUCCCUUCCAUUUGGCCUAUAAAUUAAUGUCAAUGAGAUUUAAAAAUCAUGUUUUAUUGUGAAUUCUUGUGUGAAUGUUCUUUGCACACUUAGGCUAUUUAAAAAUGUUAAUCUUUUCUUAAGAAAUGGAUAGAUGUUUAGAUCUAGUAAUUGAAUUUUGGAAUUAGCUACAAUUGGGUAACUAACUAAUUAUAUGCUUUAAUUUCAGGUCAUCCAAGUAAGAUUGUUUAAUAUUUGUUUCAGAAUGCUUCAAUCUAUAAUAACUGAAAAUGUCUUUCAGUUCUCUUAAUUUUUUUAUAAAGUUAUUGUCAUUUCACUGUCCUUGAUCACAACUUUUGUGUUAAGUCAAUGGAAAAUCAAUAGGGUUUUAAAUCAAUAAGAUGCUAAUUUCCGAGUAUGAAAAUGGCCAUAACUUUUUUAAUACUGAAGAUAUGAAAGUGAAUUAGGUGUCAAAUUAAACUUAUUUUUAUGCUUUAUCUGAUGGGAUAAAUUGCAGACUUGUUUUUUAAAUCUCUAAAUUUUGUAACAUUGCUACUCUGAGCCCUCUCCAAACCUCACAAUCCUUCUGUACCUGAAUUUCUGGAACUGGGCACAGGACUCAAGCCAGGCUUCAUAUAAUGCCUUAUAGAUGUAACUUCCCGGCUGUGUACGCUGUGUGCUUCAUGAAAUGCUUUGUUAACCGGCCAGACCAAUUUGAAUAUUUUUAUCCCAUAUUGCAGCCUCUUUGAUGGUUAAAUGCCAAGGAUGUCAUUAUGUCAUUACGGCCAUGCAUCAUUUCACAGACCAGCACUGCCCAGCGGUAACAGAGGCAUUGCAACAGCAGAUGGUAAUUGUGAGGUGAUGUUUUUGGAUGAAAUAAUAAUGUUAGUAUGUACACAGAGGAAGCACCUAGACACAGAGCCAGAGCUGCUGCCACACAGCGCCAGAGAACCAAGUUUGUUCCUGACCCUGGAUGCUGUCCACAUGGAGUUUGCGCAUUCUCCCUGUGACCGUGUGGGUUUCCUCCAGGUGCUCUGGUUUCCUUCCACAUCCCAAAGACAUGCAGGUUUGUAGGUUGAUUGGCCCACUGUAAAUUGUCCCUUGUGUGCAGAGAGUGGAUGAGAAAGUUUGUUAACAUAGAAAUAUUGUGAAUGGGCAAUUGAUGGUCGGAGUGGACUCAGUGGGCCGAAGGUCCUGUUUUCAUGCUGUAUCUUUAAACUAAAUAGUGAAUGGUAGGGCUCUAGAGAGUAUUGAUGAACAGUGGGGCCUGUACAAUUCCAAGGAUCCAUGAAGGUGGCAACAGAGGUAGAUGAAGUUUGGGCCCCAUAUCUCAGGAAGGAUGUGCUGGUGUUGGAGAGGGUCCAGAGCAGGUUUACAAGAAUGAUCCUGGGGAUGAUUGGGUCAACCUGUGAGGAGCAUUUGAAGGCUCUGGGCCUGUACUCACUGGAGUUGAGAAGGAUGAGGGGGCACCUCAUGUAAACCUACAAAAAUGCUGGAGAAAUUCAGCGGGUAAGGCAGCAUCUAUUGAGCGAAGGAAUAGGUGGCGUUUCAGGUCGAGACCCUUCUUCAGACCCUUUAAGUAUCAUUUACCAGUCUAACCUAGCCAAUUCCCGUCUCCUUCCAUCAAAGUUACCUCAAAAUAAGGGAAGGUAUCCCACGCCAGGGGGCCACAUGAGCGGCACGCGUGGGGGACAGAUUUGUGAAAUUUGAAAAAUGUUUACACUGUAUUGAACAAUUUGUAUAGCCUCCGAAAAUAUCGGAUGAAUUUUUCGCAUGGUUCACGUAUUGUAUAUAUUUAUUACUUGAAUAAAGACUAUUUUGAAAUUUAAAAA